This is a long non-coding RNA of Artibeus jamaicensis (Jamaican fruit-eating bat), 285 nucleotides long. RefSeq lists it as uncharacterized. The transcript is spliced from 4 exons. NCBI's taxonomy places the organism in Eukaryota, Metazoa, Chordata, Mammalia, Chiroptera, Phyllostomidae. The record is from RefSeq and is a predicted model, not a curated record.
CGUCUGGACCCGGAGGGCGCGGAAGUUCAGGGAGCCGCUGGGGGUCGGGGCCUGGGGCCUUGGCCCCCCUCUCCCACCGGGACUCAGAGGAACCACUCGGAGGACGAGAGGCCGGAGGCGGGGAAUCGCGGGUGUGUGUCAUUCUGCGCACAGAAGAAAGGCCGCCGCUCCACCCCAGGGGAGGCUCUUUUCUGUGACCACAGGUCGGAACAGUUGCCUGAGGAUAUUUACUCUGCGCUCCCACGGCCCGCUCCAUUCCUGCUUCCAGGCCUUGCUCGGCCCUCG